UGCCUGCCCGGUGAUAGAAAUUAAACGGCUGCGGUACUUUGACCGUGCAAAGGUAGCAUAAUAAUUAGCCUGUUAAUUUCAGGCUGGAAUCAAUGGCAAGACGAAGGAAAGACUGUCUCUUUUUAUUGUUUUAUAAAUUUUCUUUUUGGUGAAGAGACCAGAAUGAGUAAGUGGGACGAGAAGACCCUAUUGAGUUUUAGUUGUUUUAGAAGAUAUUAAUUUUCUAGAAUAACUUUGGUUGGGGCAACUACUAAUUAAAUUAGAUAUUAGUGAAGAAAAAGUGAAUUAAGUCUAAAAUAAUCCAAAAAUUUGUUUUGAAGAUAAAAAAAAUUACCUUAGGGAUAACAGCGUAAUUCUUUUUGAGAGUACAUAUUGACAAAAGAGUUUGCGACCUCGAUGUUGGAUCAAGUUUUCCUGAAGGUGUAGCAGCUUUCAAAGGUUGGUUUGUUCAACCAUAAAAAUCUU
RNAcentral lists this ribosomal RNA (465 nucleotides) under Astrophyton muricatum. RNAcentral's name for it is "partial 16S ribosomal RNA". It matches the Rfam family "Bacterial large subunit ribosomal RNA", at positions 1856 to 2597 of the family's 2925-position model. The record is from RNAcentral. Lineage: Eukaryota; Metazoa; Echinodermata; Ophiuroidea; Euryalida; Gorgonocephalidae.